CCAGAACUAUUACUAAGAGAUAUCUCAGAUAGAAUAUUACAGAACUCAAAAAGAAUAUGAAGAAACAAAAAUAGAAUUAGAAAGUUUACAGAAAGAACUAAAACAAAUGAGAAAUAAUAUGAGUACAGGAAAAUUAGUUUCUUACAUCCAGUAUAAACAUACAGUAGAAGCCAUUGAAUCAUUAGAAUAGUAUCUAACAGAGUACACAUUACCAAUACUUAAAUCAGACUUAAGACAUCUUAAUAGAACAAUAUGUUAGAAGACAAUCUUGAAAUAAGAUUAAUCCAGAUGCUUAACCAGCUCUCAGAAACUCCAACAGAUAGUCUUCCUACAGACAAAGAAUUGACAGCAGUAGAAUAUAAGAUUAUCAGAUAUGGUAGAUAUAAAAUAGGAGAUCCAGAAGAAAUAAAAACAGAAAGGUAUAAUAUACUUAAAAGAUAUAUUAUAAACAUCAAACAGAAUAAUCAGGAAUCAAUUCUUAUUAACAGAGCUUUAUUUUAUCAUCCAGAUACUUUAAAACAGGAUUGUUUAAAGUUAAUAGCAGAAAAUUUACUAGAACCUUACCAGUAUAUAGAAGUAGAAAAUAAUAAUUUAGUUCUAAAAAUAAAUAAAGAAAUAUCACAGAUCCCAGAGGAAGAACCAGACUUAAAAGAGGCCUUAAAUCAAAGUAUAACUAUUCAAGAACCAGAAGACAUAAAAGUUUCUACUCAACAAGUAACAACAGAAACAACAUCAUUAGUAGAUGAGAAUUUUCUUACUAAACAAGAAAUAUUAUCAUCAUUUGAUCCAACAUUUGAAAAAGAACUAUUAGAAUUAGUAGAUAGGUAUAUUCUUAAUAAAACAAAAAUACCAUCAGAAUUAAAUGAAGAUAUUAAUCCAGAAUUAGAACAAGGAUUCUUAGAAUUAGUUGAUACACCAGACAUACCAUUACUAGAAGAAGAAAAGAGUAUUCCAGAUAAACCAAAAACCUUAGAAAUAGAAACAUCCAAGAAUACAAAAGAUAGACAAUUACAGUCCUUUCAGUCUCCAGUAAAAACAAAAUUAAAUUACAUUGAGAUUAAUCUCCCUGAGGUUGAUCUUAAUAAAGUAUUUCCAAAAAUAAGGAAUUAUCAAACAUAUUUUGAUAAUAAUAUUAUAACCAAGUUUUUAAAAUAUUAUUCUAACCAUAUUACCAGAUCAUUAAAACCAUUAUCUUUACAUCAGAAUUUAUACCAAAAAAUAGAACUUACAGAUUGUAAUAUUAUUCUAUGGUCGAUUUAAUUACCAGUUCUAUUUAUAAAACAAUUGUUAACAGCAAUCUAUUUUCAACAGAUUAUAUUAUGCUUCUCGGAAAUAAACAAUAAAAUAAAUGUUUAUUUAGGAAGUGAUAUAAAUAAUAAUAUUAUCAUAAGAAUAAAUCAGACAUUAUCAGAAUACCCCAAUAUUCCUCCUCUUCAUUUAAGUCAUAAACCAGAAACUUACAGUAUAGGAGUUAUGACAAUACAGAUAAAAAUUAGAAAUCAUCCUUUCCAGAGUUGAACAAUAAAGUUUAUAAAACAAACUUUUGCUUAGAUACUGUUAGAUUAGACCAGACAUUACUAAAUUACUUUAGUAAGAUUAUCCCUCUAAACUUAGUCUAUAAGUUACGAGAGAGUUUGCUUAAGACUAGUAAAAAUUAUAAACAGUCUAUUAUAACAGACUAUUUUACUCCAGUAAAUAUCUUUAAUAAAGAUAUUAUUACUACUCUUCACAGAAAAUUAUUAAGGAUUCUAAGAAAACAAUCUAUAAUUAAGAAAAAUAUCUAUUUGAACAAUAGAUCCAAAAAAGAACAUAAACUUAAAAAUAACCAAAAAAGUUUAAAUAUUAAGCCAGAUAAAAAGACCCUUCUUAAAUAUACAAGAAAAAAGUUUACACAGGUCCCAUGAUCGAAUAUUAGAAAGACUUCUAGUCCAGAAUGCCAGAAAUAUUAUAAUAAAAUUCUAGAAGAGAAAGAAGCUGUUCUAGAAGAGAAAGAAGCUGUAAUCCAGCCUAUAAAUACACAACAUGAUAAUCCAAAAACACAAAUUUUACCAACCUUAGAAAACACUAAGACAGAAAACCCCCCUCCAAAACCUAAUAUACCAGGUUUAGUACCAGAGUCCUUACAGGAAGUUAUAACAGCAGAUUUAUUUUUAGUUUAUUAACUUCAUUUUUUCAUGACAGAUGACAGAUCCUCCGAGGCAUUCUUCGCCAAGGAACAACAGCAUGCAUCACGAUUUUCCGCCUAAAGGCUCAGCACCUAUGCCAGUACACACACGGCACAUCAUGCAUUAAAUAAAAUGCAUAUUUCAUAAUCAUCCCAACAUACCAUGCAUCCAUCUCCUCAAAAGAAUUAUGAAAUUAUUUCCAUAGGAAACCAACAGUUUAUUCUUAUCCAGCUACAUAAAAAUUUGUAUUUAAGCCUUUUCUAGGAAUAGAGCUUACCAAAGAACAGAAAUGUGUCAUUGAUAAUCUUUGGAUAUCACAUGGAAAAAACCAGAAAUAGUUCUUAGCAUCCUUGAAUGAUUGUUCUAGUUUAUUCCAGUCAAAAAGAUUUAAAUUCUAUGUAGUUGUAGCAGGCCAUGUUCAGGGCAUUUUCCACUCUUGGACAGAUGUUUUCUCAUAGAUCCAUAACUUCCCAAAACCUAUUUUCAAAGGUUUUGAAUCUUUAGAAUUAGGACAUCAGUUUUCCAGAAACAGAAUAGGUCCAACCUAUUUUGUCACUCCAACUCUCCAGAACUACAAAGAUCCAGUGGAUUAUUCAGUCCUAAAGGAUCCCAAUCCAACUCAACCAUUGUUUUGCACACGUUGUAAAACUAUGGUAUCCAGUUUCUCAAAACUUAACAAAUAGAAAGAAGAACUCUUAACAGAGAAUUCUAAAAUUCGCCAGAAAAAUAAUGAUUUACAACAAGAAGUUUAUUUUCUAACCUCACAGUUAGCUACCCAAAAUAUGGGACAGAAGAGUUCAGCAUCGUCCUCUUUGAAGAGCACAGAGGAUACCACAAGAUUCCAAAUAUUUGAUUUGGAUAGUGAGUCAUCCGUAAAGAGCUUACCUACUCCACUACAAACGGCAAGUGGUGAAGAGAUAUCAAGUCCGUUGAUGGGUGCG
Molecule: long non-coding RNA, 3106 nt
Filed under: Panax ginseng (ginseng)
Lineage: Eukaryota; Viridiplantae; Streptophyta; Magnoliopsida; Apiales; Araliaceae
Description: long non-coding RNA (PGIN_LNC000123)
Source: RNAcentral